CCUACGGGAGGCAGCAGUGGGGAAUAUUGGGCAAUGGAGGCAACUCUGACCCAGCAACGCCGCGUGAAUGAUGAAGGUCUUCGGAUUGUAAAGUUCUGUGCUGGGGGAUGAACACAAUGACGGUACCCUAAUAGCAAGCCACGGCUAACUACGUGCCAGCAGCCGCGGUAAUACGUCGGUGGCAAGCGUUAUCCGGAAUGACUGGGCGUAAAGGGUGCGUAGGUGGUUUAGUAAGUUAGCGGUGUAAUUCCGGGGCUCAACCUCGGCGCUACCGCCAAAACUAUUAGACUAGAGUGCAGGAGGGGUAAGUGGAAUGCCUAGUGUAGCGGUGGAAUGCGUAGAUAUUAGGAGGAACACCAGGGGCGAAGGCGACUUACUAGACUGUAACUGACACUGAGGCACGAAAGCGUGGGGAGCAAACAGGAUUAGAUACCCGAGUAGUC
RNAcentral lists this ribosomal RNA (443 nucleotides) under uncultured bacterium. Its description in RNAcentral is "partial 16S ribosomal RNA". It matches the Rfam family "Bacterial small subunit ribosomal RNA", at positions 338 to 795 of the family's 1533-position model. The record is from RNAcentral.